GGUUAAGCGACUAAGCGUACACGGUGGAUGCCCUGGCAGUCAGAGGCGAUGAAGGACGUGCUAAUCUGCGAAAAGCGUCGGUAAGGUGAUAUGAACCGUUAUAACCGGCGAUGUCCGAAUGGGGAAACCCAGUGUGAUUCGUCACACUAUCGUUAACUGAAUACAUAGGUUAACGAGGCGAACCGGGGGAACUGAAACAUCUAAGUACCCCGAGGAAAAGAAAUCAACCGAGAUUCCCCCAGUAGCGGCGAGCGAACGGGGAGCAGCCCAGAGUCUGAAUCAGCUUGUGUGUUAGUGGAACGGUCUGGAAAGUCCGACGGUACAGGGUGAUAGUCCCGUACACCAAAAUGCACAGGUUGUGAACUCGAAGAGUAGGGCGGGACACGUGGUAUCCUGUCUGAAUAUGGGGGGACCAUCCUCCAAGGCUAAAUACUCCUGACUGACCGAUAGUGAACCAGUACCGUGAGGGAAAGGCGAAAAGAACCCCGGCGAGGGGAGUGAAAAAGAACCUGAAACCGUGUACGUACAAGCAGUGGGAGCACCUUCGGGUGUGACUGCGUACCUUUUGUAUAAUGGGUCAGCGACUUAUAUUCUGUAGCAAGGUUAACCGUAUAGGGGAGCCGCAGGGAAACCGAGUCUUAACUGGGCGUUAAGUUGCAGGGUAUAGACCCGAAACCCGGUGAUCUAGCCAUGGGCAGGUUGAAGGUUGGGUAACACUAACUGGAGGACCGAACCGACUAAUGUUGAAAAAUUAGCGGAUGACUUGUGGCUGGGGGUGAAAGGCCAAUCAAACCGGGAGAUAGCUGGUUCUCCCCGAAAGCUAUUUAGGUAGCGCCUCGUGAACUCAUCUUCGGGGGUAGAGCACUGUUUCGGCUAGGGGGUCAUCCCGACUUACCAACCCGAUGCAAACUACGAAUACCGAAGAAUGUUAUCACGGGAGACACACGGCGGGUGCUAACGUCCGUCGUGAAGAGGGAAACAACCCAGACCGCCAGCUAAGGUCCCAAAGUCAUGGUUAAGUGGGAAACGAUGUGGGAAGGCACAGACAGCCAGGAUGUUGGCUUAGAAGCAGCCAUCAUUUAAAGAAAGCGUAAUAGCUCACUGGUCGAGUCGGCCUGCGCGGAAGAUGUAACGGGGCUAAACCAUGCACCGAAGCUGCGGCAGCGACACUAUGUGUUGUUGGGUAGGGGAGCGUUCUGUAAGCCUGCGAAGGUGUGCUGUGAGGCAUGCUGGAGGUAUCAGAAGUGCGAAUGCUGACAUAAGUAACGAUAAAGCGGGUGAAAAGCCCGCUCGCCGGAAGACCAAGGGUUCCUGUCCAACGUUAAUCGGGGCAGGGUGAGUCGACCCCUAAGGCGAGGCCGAAAGGCGUAGUCGAUGGGAAACAGGUUAAUAUUCCUGUACUUGGUGUUACUGCGAAGGGGGGACGGAGAAGGCUAUGUUAGCCGGGCGACGGUUGUCCCGGUUUAAGCAUGUAGGCUGGUUAUCCAGGCAAAUCCGGAUAAUCAAGGCUGAGGUGUGAUGACGAGGCACUACGGUGCUGAAGUAACAAAUGCCCUGCUUCCAGGAAAAGCCUCUAAGCAUCAGGUAACAUCAAAUCGUACCCCAAACCGACACAGGUGGUCAGGUAGAGAAUACCAAGGCGCUUGAGAGAACUCGGGUGAAGGAACUAGGCAAAAUGGUGCCGUAACUUCGGGAGAAGGCACGCUGGUGUGUAGGUGAAGUCCCUGCGGAUGGAGCUGAGACCAGUCGAAGAUACCAGCUGGCUGCAACUGUUUAUUAAAAACACAGCACUGUGCAAACACGAAAGUGGACGUAUACGGUGUGACGCCUGCCCGGUGCCGGAAGGUUAAUUGAUGGGGUUAUCCGUAAGGAGAAGCUCUUGAUCGAAGCCCCGGUAAACGGCGGCCGUAACUAUAACGGUCCUAAGGUAGCGAAAUUCCUUGUCGGGUAAGUUCCGACCUGCACGAAUGGCGUAAUGAUGGCCAGGCUGUCUCCACCCGAGACUCAGUGAAAUUGAACUCGCUGUGAAGAUGCAGUGUACCCGCGGCAAGACGGAAAGACCCCGUGAACCUUUACUAUAGCUUGACACUGAACAUUGAGCCUUGAUGUGUAGGAUAGGUGGGAGGCUUUGAAGCGUGGACGCCAGUCUGCGUGGAGCCAACCUUGAAAUACCACCCUUUAAUGUUUGAUGUUCUAACGUUGGCCCCUUACCGGGGUUGCGGACAGUGUCUGGUGGGUAGUUUGACUGGGGCGGUCUCCUCCCAAAGCGUAACGGAGGAGCACGAAGGUUAGCUAAUCCUGGUCGGACAUCAGGAGGUUAGUGCAAUGGCAUAAGCUAGCUUGACUGCGAGCGUGACGGCGCGAGCAGGUGCGAAAGCAGGUCAUAGUGAUCCGGUGGUUCUGAAUGGAAGGGCCAUCGCUCAACGGAUAAAAGGUACUCCGGGGAUAACAGGCUGAUACCGCCCAAGAGUUCAUAUCGACGGCGGUGUUUGGCACCUCGAUGUCGGCUCAUCACAUCCUGGGGCUGAAGUAGGUCCCAAGGGUAUGGCUGUUCGCCAUUUAAAGUGGUACGCGAGCUGGGUUUAGAACGUCGUGAGACAGUUCGGUCCCUAUCUGCCGUGGGCGCUGGAGAAUUGAGGGGGGCUGCUCCUAGUACGAGAGGACCGGAGUGGACGCAUCACUGGUGUUCGGGUUGUCAUGCCAAUGGCACUGCCCGGUAGCUAAAUGCGGAAGAGAUAAGUGCUGAAAGCAUCUAAGCACGAAACUUGCCCCGAGAUGAGUUCUCCCUGAGACUUUAAGUCUCCUGAAGGAACGUUAAAGACGAUGACGUUGAUAGGCCGGGUGUGUAAGCGCAGCGAUGCGUUGAGCUAACCGGUACUAAUGAACCGUGAGGCUUAACCUU
Molecule: ribosomal RNA, 2902 nt
Filed under: Klebsiella pneumoniae
Lineage: Bacteria; Pseudomonadati; Pseudomonadota; Gammaproteobacteria; Enterobacterales; Enterobacteriaceae
Description: 23S ribosomal RNA
Rfam family: Bacterial large subunit ribosomal RNA
Source: RNAcentral